Molecule: long non-coding RNA, 537 nt
Filed under: Homo sapiens (human)
Lineage: Eukaryota; Metazoa; Chordata; Mammalia; Primates; Hominidae
Description: long non-coding RNA NONHSAT166189.1
Source: RNAcentral
AUGAACCCCAAGAGGCAAGGAUGACAGGAGCCAUCUUGAAGGCUGGCGACCACAGAUCCACACCUAACUCCAAACCACCAAAUUACUCGGAGUGUGUGUCGGGCUGCCCACGGUGCGGUGAGCCCAUGUGACUAGACCCCGGACGAUGGACUAAGAGGGAAGAGGACGUGCCUAAGUUCCGGGCUGAGGCCUUAAGAACCCAUGCACUCUUCUCCUGUUACUUUUCCCUGCGGCAACAAGCAAGGAGUCCUCAUUCCAGGGAGUGUGACCGCAUCGUGGUGCUAAUUCCCUUCCUUGCAGAAAAUGAAAUGACCAUAAUAACUCCAAGACAGAGCAGAAGGUUCAUCUGAGUCAUACCAAAUAACUUCAUUGCUGCUAAAGUAAAAUUUGAAAAUGAUUGAAGUGAUUUUUAUGAUCAGCCUUUUGGAAGUCAUUCAAAAGUGCUGCAAUGCUACUUCAAAGAAGAUAAUUCAAAUUUAAAUGUCACUCUUCAGUGUUGUUUAUCAACAGCUGAGUAUUAAAAUUGGUGAGCUUGAU